Non-coding RNA from Pelobates cultripes (western spadefoot toad), 618 nucleotides. NCBI's taxonomy places the organism in Eukaryota, Metazoa, Chordata, Amphibia, Anura, Pelobatidae. The record is from the annotation of a GenBank genome assembly.
AUACAUCGUCCCUACUGGAUGAGGCCUACUCAGGCGGAGAGUGGGGUGGAUGACCGCUGCCCAGCUAUCCUGCCUGACAGUAUCCAGCCGGACUCCCUCGGAUUGACGGACUGGGCCUUGUCCCCCCCCUUUGGUCCGGUGGGGUGAUCCCAGCCCACACCCUGAGGUCCCUUCUGCAAAAGUGAUCCCAAGACCCAGGCUAGCUACUAAAAUACAGCACAAGCCACAAGCUACAUCUAUAGAGGCAGUAUCCAUAACCCUGCCAACUCACAUCAGGGAGUCAAUCCCCACAAACCCAGAGCUGAUGCCAUGUACCUGUCCAUGGCAGCCUGAUCGGCGGGGACACAGGGCCACACCACAUCGGGACAUGCCUGACCAAAUCUCCGUGGUCCCUGCACCCACACACGGCAAAGAGGGCAGAGGGGCUGCAAGUGGCACAGCACCAACUCACCUUCCCAGGCAGACAAGCCCUCGGACCUGCUCAGACGAACGGUACAUGAUGCACGACAGACUACCUCAUCAGCUAGCAGUGACCCGGACUGGGCCCCGAGAGUGCACAGCACCACCGAAACGAGGGAGAAAAUAGCAGGCCGCGAGGCCCAAAAUGACGGAGACACC